Non-coding RNA from Pantherophis guttatus, 1653 nucleotides. The record is from RefSeq and is a predicted model, not a curated record. NCBI's taxonomy places the organism in Eukaryota, Metazoa, Chordata, Lepidosauria, Squamata, Colubridae.
CUCCAAGCCGCGCCUCGACCCGCCAUCGCGCCGCUUCGGCUUCUGACAGGUCUCGGCUGCCUCAAGCCUCAGCGAGGAUAACGCUCCUGAGGUAAAUGGCGCCAUUGAUUAGGCUGUCAAUUGAUAGGGUCACCUUGGGUCAAAUGCCUCUCUCUGAAUGUGUGAAUGAAUUGAGUUUCACAGUGGGAAGACUCGCGGAGAAUACAAGACACAAUGAAAUGAAGCUGAAAUAGAACUCUACCCUCUUGUCUUAUUUUCAGGAUCUGCUUUACGUAUCAGCAGAAAAAUAGCAAUAAAAAAAACAAUAUUCACAAAGGAUUAAGUUGUACUCGAGCUAAUGUCAAGUUAGUAUUUUUUUUAAAGAAAUUCAUUUAAUUAUUCUGCAAGAGACAUCAUGGUUUUAGGUACAUUUUUCUUUUUUGUGUGUCUUUCGGUCACUAUUGACUCCUACGUAGCAACUACAGGUAGUCUUGACUUACAACAGUUCAUUUACAGCAUUCCAAGUUACCCAGGAGUGGGGUGGGAAUGGAGAUUUUGCAGUAUCCUUCCUCUGCCAUGCCCACCAAGCCACACCACGCCCACGGAACCGGUAGUAAAAAAAAAAAUUAGAUUUCGCCACUGGUCAACAGUAUUAAGUACCUGCGGGUGCAAAUAAUUAACAAUCUGAAUUGGUCUCUUCACACAUCAUCCUUAGUGAAGCAUGCAAAGCACCAUCUGCAUUUCCUGCAUCGGAUGAGGAGAGCAUAUCUUUCUCCUUCUGUCCUGGCUACUUUUUGCAGAGCCACAAUGGGGAGCAUUUUAAUGAGCCGCAUGAUUACUUCUUGGUUUGGCGGCAGCAGUGCCUCAGAUAGAAAGUCCCUACAGAGAGUGGUGAGGACAGCGGAGAAGAUUAUAGGAAGCUCGCUUCCCGUUCUUCAGGAUACCGUUUAUAAGCGCUAUAUGCUUAGAGCUCAAAGCGUUGUUAGAGACCCCACACACCCACUUUACGACCUGUUUCUGUUGCUCCCCUCUGGGAGGAGGUUUCAAAGUAUUUCUAGCAGGACUACCAGAUUCUGUAACAGCUUUGGUCCCUACACCAUCUGUCUGGUGCUAAACUCGCAAGAUUUGUUUUUCUCGCCAUGUACAUGUAUACCUCCGAACUAGAGUGUGUUGUCUCUCCAUGUCAUAUAUUUGGGUACCUGCAUAAUUUUGUAUCAUCUAUCUAUCUAUCUAUCUAUCUAUCUAUCUAUCUAUCUAUCUAUCUAUCUUAUCUCUAUCUAUCUAUCUCUAUCUCUAUCUAUCUAUCUAUAUCUAACUAUCUCUAUCUCUAUCUCUCUAUAUAUCUACAACUAUAACUUAUCUAUUUCUAUCUCUAUCUAUCUCUAUUUAUAUCUUUCUAAUUAUCUAUAUAUCUAUAACUAUCUCUAUAACUAUCUAUCUCUAUCUACCUCUAUCUCUAUCUAUUCUAUCUAUCUAUAUCUAUAUCUACCUCUAACUAACUAUCCAUCCAUCUAUCUAUCUAUCUAUCUAUCUAUCUAUCUCUAUCUUGUUAUGUUUAUGUAGUGUCUAUUGGCGGUGGUAACCCUUUGAGAGCUGCAUGUAACGAAAUUUCAUUUUAAUGUAUGCCGAUCCGUGUACAUUCAAAGUGACAAUAAAGUUUAUUCUAAGUUCUAA